RNAcentral lists this ribosomal RNA (369 nucleotides) under Lysinibacillus sphaericus. RNAcentral describes it as "partial 23S ribosomal RNA". It matches the Rfam family "Bacterial large subunit ribosomal RNA", at positions 2561 to 2925 of the family's 2925-position model. RNAcentral also lists the same sequence under 1 other name. The record is from RNAcentral. Lineage: Bacteria; Bacillati; Bacillota; Bacilli; Caryophanales; Bacillaceae.
GGUCCCAAGGGUUGGGCUGUUCGCCCAUUAAAGCGGUACGCGAGCUGGGUUCAGAACGUCGUGAGACAGUUCGGUCCCUAUCCGUCGCGGGCGCAGGAAAUUUGAGAGGAGCUGUCCUUAGUACGAGAGGACCGGGAUGGACGCACCGCUGGUGUACCAGUUGUUCUGCCAAGGGCAUCGCUGGGUAGCUAUGUGCGGACGGGAUAAGUGCUGAAAGCAUCUAAGCAUGAAGCCCCCCUCAAGAUGAGAUUUCCCAUUCCGCAAGGAAGUAAGAUCCCUGAAAGAUGAUCAGGUUGAUAGGUCUGAGGUGGAAGUGUGGCGACACAUGGAGCUGACAGAUACUAAUCGAUCGAGGACUUAACCAUAUUU